UACGGGGGGGGCAAGCGUUGUUCGGAAUUACUGGGCGUAAAGGGCCAGUAGGCGGCCAACUAAGUCGGACGUGAAAUCCCCAGGCUCAACCUGGGAACUGCGUCCGAUACUGGAUGGCUUGAAUUCGGGAGAGGGAUGCAGAAUUCCAGGUGUAGCGGUGAAAUGCGCAGAUAUCAGGAGGAACACCAGCGGCGAAGGCGGCGCUCUGGGCCGGUACUGACACUGAGGAGCGAAAGCGUGGGUAGCAAACAGG
This 253-nucleotide ribosomal RNA is filed under the name uncultured bacterium. Its description in RNAcentral is "partial 16S ribosomal RNA". It matches the Rfam family "Bacterial small subunit ribosomal RNA", at positions 524 to 776 of the family's 1533-position model. The record is from RNAcentral.